CGAGUUCGCCAGACGGCCGCGGUUGUCGAAGACAGCCGAGGAAAGUCCGGACUCCACAGGACAGGGAGCUGGGUAACACCCAGGCGGGGCGACCCGACGGAAAGUGCCGCAGAGACCAGACCGCCGAUGGAGGGAAGACAGGUGUGUCCUACACCCGUCCUCCCGCACAGGCAAGGGUGAAACGGUGGUGUAAGAGACCACCAGCGCCCCGGGUGACCGGGGCGGCUGGUAAACCCCUCCUGGAGCAAGGUCAAGUAGAGGCGCCGGUGGUCCGCCGACCAAGCCUCGGGUAGACCGCACCGAGGCCUGACGGUAACGCAGGCCCCAGAUGGAUGGCCGUCGCCCGUAGAGGGCACAGAAUCCGGCUUACCGGCGGACUCGCCCU
RNAcentral lists this RNase P RNA (385 nucleotides) under bacterium. RNAcentral describes it as "RNase P RNA component class A". It matches the Rfam family "Bacterial RNase P class A". From Rfam's summary of the family: Ribonuclease P (RNase P) is a ubiquitous endoribonuclease, found in archaea, bacteria and eukarya as well as chloroplasts and mitochondria. Its best characterised activity is the generation of mature 5'-ends of tRNAs by cleaving the 5'-leader elements of precursor-tRNAs. The record is from RNAcentral.